ACAUGCAGUCGAACGGGGGUCACUUGACUGAAGUCUUCGGACGGAAGUUAUUUGACUCGAGUGGCGGACGGGUGAGUAACACGUGAGCAACCUGCCUUUUGCUGGGGAAUAACUGUGGGAAACCAUGGCUAAUACCGCAUAUUGUAACUUGGGGGCAUCCUUAGGUUAUGAAAGGAGCAAUCCGGCAAGAGAUGGGCUCGCGUCCGAUUAGGUAGUUGGUGGGGUAAGGGCUCACCAAGCCAACGAUCGGUAGCCGGACUGAGAGGUCGAACGGCCACAUUGGGACUGAGACACGACCCAGACUCCUACGGGAGGCAGCAGUGGGGAAUAUUGGGCAAUGGGGGAAACCCUGACCCAGCGACGCCGCGUGAAGGACGGAGGCCUUCGGGUUGUAAACUUCUUUGGGGAGGGACGAAAGUGACGGUACCUCCAGAACAAGCCACGGCUAACUGCGUGCCAGCAGCCGCGGUAAUACGUAGGUGGCAAGCGUUAUCCGGAUUUACUGGGUGUAAAGGGCGCGCAGGCGGUCCUAAAAGUCAGAUGUGAAAGAUCAAGGCUUAACUUUGACAGGUCAUCUGAAACUUUGGGACUUGAGUAUCAGAGGGGAAAGUGGAAUUCCUGGUGGAGCGGUAAAAUGCGCAGAGAUCAGGAGGAACACCGGUGGCGAAGGCGACUUUCUGGCUGACAACUGACGCUGAGGCGCGAAAGCGUGGGGAGCAAACAGGAUUAGAUACCCUGGUAGUCCACGC
RNAcentral lists this ribosomal RNA (749 nucleotides) under uncultured bacterium. RNAcentral describes it as "bacterial SSU rRNA". It matches the Rfam family "Bacterial small subunit ribosomal RNA", at positions 53 to 800 of the family's 1533-position model. The record is from RNAcentral.